RNAcentral lists this long non-coding RNA (1413 nucleotides) under Ursus americanus (American black bear). RNAcentral's name for it is "lncRNA (ENSUAMG00000025050.1)". Lineage: Eukaryota; Metazoa; Chordata; Mammalia; Carnivora; Ursidae. The record is from RNAcentral.
GUGAAUUUGAGAUCAUAGAAAGUUGUUUAGAGUAGUAGUUGUUAUUACAGUGGGUAAAUGUGGCCUGUUUUUAACCUGAGACUUAUACUGAAACGUAAGAAGUUAAGAACCUUAGUUGUUUUUACUCCUUGUUAGAAGUCUUUAAAUGUGGUAGAAAUGGGUAAGAUUCUAGAAAAUGAAGAAGUUGAGCAUAUUACCGUUGAGUCACUAGUAGGGAAUGCACUGGAGUUAACUACUGUAAAAUAAUAGUACAAAAUCUUCAAACGCAGGGAUUCUAAAAUUUGCAGUCCAGUUGAGGAAGCUCUGACACUCUAGAUAAAUGCAUUUUAUUUGACUACAGGACCCCCCCAAACGUAUGUAUUUUAGAGCCAAAUUUAGCUUGGAUGACAAAUCAAUAGUCUUGAGCAUGAAAGCUUGUUGAUACGAGAAUAAUAAAGUUCUAAGACCCAGUUGUGACUUGAUACUGCACUUACCACCAGAAGAAUGGAAAUAUCCGUUUAGGGAUCUGUGUGAUGUUGGUUUGAUUCUUCUAAGAUAAAAUUAAACCAAACCAUACCAGUCUUAAAAACAUUUUUUUAUUUCUUUUGGAUACUAUACUCUUUAAGAAUGUCAUACCUCUGUACAGGAAGUUUGACUAUCAGCCCAGCUCAUUGAGAUGAUAGAACCAAACAGUUGACACGGUGGUUCUUUAUUUUGAUAUCAGAGCUUAUUAAAAGUAUAAUUUGUCCAGUCUUAGGCCGAUACAAGGAAAGAGUUGUGUUUUGCUAGUUUUUUUUUUUUAAUACUUCAUUAAAAGAAUUUUUUUAAAGUAACCUUUACACCCAGCAUGGGCUCUAACUCCUAACCACUGAGAUCAAGAGUUGCACACUCUACCCACUGAGUCAGCCAAGCGCCCUGUGUCUUGCUUAAUUUUAGUUUCUCUGUUCUUAGUUUACCUAAUAAAGUGCUCAGUAGGUGUUGAAAGAGAUUAUUCUGUGAACUAAUUGGUAUAAUUGUUUUUCUUUUUAUUAAGAUCACGGUCGAGAUCAAGAUCAAGAUCCAGAUCUCUUUCACGACCAAGAAGCAGCCGAUCAAAGUCCAGAUCUCCAUCUCCAAAAAGAAGUCGUUCCCCAUCAGGAAGUCCGCGAAGAAGUGCAAGUCCUGAAAGAGUGGACUGAAGUUCUCAAGUUCACCUUUUAGGGAAAAGUUAUUUUGUUUACAUUAUUAUAAGGGAUUUGUGGUGUCAAAGUGUAACCUAGGAAGGGUAUUUCAACCAUCUAAUCAAAAUGGAUCUGGAUUAUUACUCUGUAAAUUCACAGCAGUAAGAUAAUAUAAAUUUUUGUUGAAUGUAUUAACAUCCUAUGGUCUGAAAAUGUGGGUUUUUAUUUGGCACAUUUAAAUAAAAUGUUUCUAACUAGAUUUUUGAUUUGUGUU